This 481-nucleotide ribosomal RNA is filed under the name uncultured bacterium. RNAcentral describes it as "partial 16S ribosomal RNA". It matches the Rfam family "Bacterial small subunit ribosomal RNA", at positions 30 to 506 of the family's 1533-position model. The record is from RNAcentral.
AUUGAACGCUGGCGGCAUGCUUUACACAUGCAAGUCGAACGGUAACAGCACUUCGGUGGCUGACGAGUGGCGAACGGGCGAGUAAGACACCGGAACGUGCCUAGUAGUGGGGGAUAACUACUCGUAAGAGUAGCUAAUAUCGCAUGAGAUCUAAGGAUGAAAGCAGGGGACCUUCGGGCCUUGCGCCACUAGAGCGGGUGGUGGCAGUUGAGGAAGUUGGUGGGAUAAAAGCUUACCAAGCCGAAGGUCUGUAGCUGGUCCGAGAGGGCGAGCAGCCACACUGGGGCUGAGCCGCGGCCCCGCCUCUUACGGGCGGCCGCGGUGGGGACUGUAGGCCAAUGGGCGCAAGCCUGCACCAGCGAUGCCGCCUGGAGGAUGAAGGCCUGCGUGUUGUAAGCUGCUUUUCUGCGGAACGAAAGCCCCUCUUCUUAUCCAGGAGGGUCUUGACGUUACCGUAAGAGUAGGCACCGCCUACCUCCUU